GAUGAAGAACGUAGCGAAAUGCGAUAAGUAGUGUGAAUUGCAGAAUUCCGUGAAUCAUCGAAUCUUUGAACGCACAUUGCGCCUUCUGGUAUUCCGGAAGGCAUGCCUGUUCGAGAGUCAUUAACAACCGUUUCGAUCCCUUUCUUUCAGAAAUUACAAAGAGGAAAAGGGUUUGGUUAUGGUGGAGGAGGGAAAGGGAGCGUUUAGCCUGUAAAAAAAGAGGCUGUGUUCCGCCUCCCCCCCAAAAUUGUACAGGCGGUCGUGUGCGCCCACGCAUCGAGGUGUUGUAAAAGCUGCCACGGCACUUUUCACCUGUGCAGUGCGAGAUUGGCCAGCCGGUUUAAAAACCCCUCCAAACAAUCAUAGGUUGACCUCGGAUCAGGUAGGGAUACCCGCUGAACUUAAGCAUAUCAAUAAGCGGAGGA
Molecule: unclassified non-coding RNA, 425 nt
Filed under: soil metagenome
Description: partial contains 5.8S ribosomal RNA, internal transcribed spacer 2, and large subunit ribosomal RNA
Rfam family: 5.8S ribosomal RNA (bases 1-120)
Source: RNAcentral